RNAcentral lists this ribosomal RNA (798 nucleotides) under uncultured bacterium. Its description in RNAcentral is "bacterial SSU rRNA". It matches the Rfam family "Bacterial small subunit ribosomal RNA", at positions 8 to 796 of the family's 1533-position model. The record is from RNAcentral.
AGAGUUUGAUCAUGGCUCAGAGUGAACGCUGGCGGCAUGCCUAACACAUGCAAGUCGAACGGUAACAGGCCCGCAAGGGUGCUGACGAGUGGCGGACGGGGUGAGGAAUACAUCGGAAUCUGCCCGGUCGUGGGGGAUAACGUAGGGAAACUUACGCUAAUACCGCAUGAGACCGAGAGGUGAAAGCGGGGGAUCAGCAAUGACCUCGCGCGAUCGGAUGAGCCGAUGUCGGAUUAGCUAGUUGGCGGGGUAAAGGCCCACCAAGGCGACGAUCCGUAGCUGGUUCUGAGAGGAUGAUCAGCCACACUGGGACUGAGACACGGCCCAGACUCCUACGGGAGGCAGCAGUGGGGAAUAUUGGACAAUGGGGGCAACCCUGAUCCAGCAAUGCCGCGUGUGUGAAGAAGGCCUUCGGGUUGUAAAGCACUUUUAUCCGGAACGAAACGCGCUCGGUGAACAGCCGGGUGAACUGACGGUACCGGAGGAAUAAGCACCGGCUAACUUCGUGCCAGCAGCCGCGGUAAUACGAAGGGUGCAAGCGUUACUCGGAAUUACUGGGCGUAAAGCGUGCGUAGGUGGUCUUUUAAGUCCGUUGUGAAAUCCCCGGGCUCAACCUGGGAAUGGCAGUGGAUACUGGAAGGCUAGAGUGCGGUAGAGGGAUGUGGAAUUCCCGGUGUAGCGGUGAAAUGCGUAGAGAUUCGGGAGGAACACCAGUGGCGAAGGCGGCAUCCUGGACCAGCACUGACACUCAGGCACGAAAGCGUGGGGAGCAAACAGGAUUAGAUACCCCCGUAGUCC